CCUACGGGUGGCAGCAGUGGGGAAUAUUGCACAAUGGGGGAAACCCUGAUGCAGCGACGCCGCGUGAGCGAAGAAGUAUUUCGGUAUGUAAAGCUCUAUCAGCAGGGAAGAAAAUGACGGUACCUGACUAAGAAAGCCCCGACAAACUACGUGCCAGCAGCCGCGGUAAUACGUAGGGGGCGAGCGUUGUCCGGAAUGACUGGGCGUAAAGGGAGUGUAGGCGGCAUAUUAAGUUAUGUGUGAAAGCCCGCGGCUCAACCGCGGAAUUGCACAUAAAACUGGUAAGCUGGAGUGCAGGAGAGGUAAGUGGAAUUCCCGGUGUAGCGGUGGAAUGCGUAGAUAUCGGGAGGAACACCAGAGGCGAAGGCGACUUACUGGACUGUAACUGACGCUGAGGCUCGAAAGCGUGGGGAGCAAACAGGAUUAGAUACCCUGGUAGUC
Molecule: ribosomal RNA, 441 nt
Filed under: uncultured bacterium
Lineage: Bacteria
Description: partial 16S ribosomal RNA
Rfam family: Bacterial small subunit ribosomal RNA
Source: RNAcentral